CCUGGCCUUGACAUACUAAGAACUUUCCAGAGAUGGAUUGGUGCCUUCGGGAACUUAGAUGCAGGUGCUGCAUGGCUGUCGUCAGCUCGUGUCGUGAGAUGUUGGGUUAAGUCCCGCAACGAGCGCAACCCUUUUCCUUAUUUGCCAGCGGGUAAUGCCGGGAACUUUAAGGAUACUGCCAGUGACAAACUGGAGGAAGGCGGGGACGACGUCAAGUCAUCAUGGCCCUUACGGCCAGGGCUACACACGUGCUACAAUGGUCGGUACAAAGGGUUGCUACCUCGCGAGAGGAUGCUAAUCUCAAAAAAGCCGAUCGUAGUCCGGAUCGCAGUCUGCAACUCGACUGCGUGAAGUCGGAAUCGCUAGUAAUCGCGGAUCAGAAUGCCGCGGUGAAUACGUUCCCGGGCCUUGUACACACCGCCCGUCACACCAUGGGAGUUUGUUGCACCAGAAGUAGGUAGUCUAACCGCAAGGAGGACGCUUACCACGGUGUGGCCGAUGACUGGGGUGAAGUCGUAACAAGGUAAGCGUACUACA
Molecule: ribosomal RNA, 537 nt
Filed under: uncultured bacterium
Lineage: Bacteria
Description: bacterial SSU rRNA
Rfam family: Bacterial small subunit ribosomal RNA
Source: RNAcentral